This 318-nucleotide long non-coding RNA is filed under the name Panax ginseng (ginseng). RNAcentral describes it as "long non-coding RNA (PGIN_LNC006587)". Lineage: Eukaryota; Viridiplantae; Streptophyta; Magnoliopsida; Apiales; Araliaceae. The record is from RNAcentral.
ACCACCAUUGACAGUUCGACCAAGAACCAAUCCGAGUUUCUCAAGCUCACAUCCAAUAUUUCAUUAAGAAAAAACAAAACCAAAUUCAUCAAACCCACCACAGAUUCAAACUUACCCACUAUCAAAACCCAGCUCAAGAAGCUCAAUUCCACCUCAAAACCAUCAAAUUCAACCAAACCCACUUCACUUUCCUCAAAGAAAUCGUCAGAUCUAACCAAACCAAAUUUUGAUUCUGAUUUUUGAAAGCUUAAAGGUUCUUCUUCAGACGCUUCAGAUUCUCCUUCGUCGGUGCAUGGAUUCAUGUUUUUGAUCUUCUUC